Molecule: long non-coding RNA, 656 nt
Organism: Ruditapes philippinarum (Manila clam)
Lineage: Eukaryota; Metazoa; Mollusca; Bivalvia; Venerida; Veneridae
Exons: 2
Source: RefSeq, a predicted model, not a curated record
AGAUCAACCUGGAACAUACGAUACGGGGACGGGAAACACAGAGAUUAUCGCUCCUUAUGUUUUCGUUCAAUCAGGAAUCAGCGCCGCCAUUUUACAAUUUUAGUUCAAAGCGGAGGAAAUGUUCGGUCAGAAAAUCGAUCGGUAUGUUUACUUAAUGGGGUUGAAGUCCCCAGAAAGUAAAUGAAAUAAUUCUGUUUAUCGAAGAUUGAAAACUUUCCAUCAGAUGCUUUCUUCACAAAUUUCUUUUUGCUUGAGAAUACCAGUAAUGAUGAACAAGAUCCUGAGUGUAAGGUCACAAAAGAUACCAUGAAUUUGUCGAUUCAGAUUGAAGGAUUAAAAUAUGUAUUCGUGUCACAGAGAAAAUGAAGUUGGACCUACUUGUGCAUUCAUAUAUCUGAUGAAACAUUUUUUCAAAGCCGCAUGCCUCCAGAUAACCCAAAAUAUUUCAAAGAAAUUACACUUGGAAAAAAACAUACUAAAACUUAAAGAAAAAGUAAACAGAUCAAAGAUUCAAGUGAUAAUUUAUAUCUUAUGUGCAAUUAAUGACUGUAUAUUGCAGUAUUUAUCACCAUAUUUAUACUGCGUUACUAACGCAGUAGGGGCCAUUCAUGCACAUUUUGACUUCUUUUUGGUAAUUUAUGUAGAUUAUAAGUGCC